RNA transcript from Fragaria vesca subsp. vesca, 889 nucleotides. RefSeq lists it as uncharacterized. The record is from RefSeq and is a predicted model, not a curated record. The transcript is spliced from 3 exons. Lineage: Eukaryota; Viridiplantae; Streptophyta; Magnoliopsida; Rosales; Rosaceae.
CCCUCAGCAACCUGGAUCCACCGAUCGAAUUCGCAGAUCGGUUUACGUAGAGCUGGAAACGGGUUGUCGACUUCGCUCGGAUCGAUCUCCCAAAAAGAGAUGAAUUCAUUGCAGCUGAUGGCCUUGAAGAGACGUCAUGACAGUAAGAUGAUGUAUGGAGAUGGCAAGAUCUCACGAACGCGGCGUGAAAGCCCGACGUUCCAUCUGGUUUGCUCUAAUGGAGGGAACAUGUUUUGCAGUAUGUAUUUUCUUUGUAAUGUUUACAUUAACUUAUUUUCAAACCAGCAAUGGGACGAUGAAUUGAUCUCCAGACUUGGUGUUAUCCAAUGUUUAUUUAAAAGUAUAAAUCAUACUGGUGAAAAAAAGAUUCAGGAUAUUGCCUUUCUUAUUUGCUAAACAGCUGUUCUCUUCCAUUUCUCAGUUUUCACCAUCAUAUUUUGCUUGUAUAGCUUAGAUUUUACACUCAUGGGAUUCUGAAGUUAGCAUGUCUGAAGAUUCUGUGUACUUGUCACCAAAGGCAUUGGUUCCUGAGUGCUCGCACUCUAGUCAUCUAAGUGAAUAUCGUCGAGAACUAUUGGAGAUAUUUUACUGGUAGAAGCACACAACGUAUUCAAUAUCUCUACCUCACCUGCAAUUGAUGGAAUUGUUUUUUUGGCUGAGAUAGGAUCGGUGUGGAAACUAUGAUGAUUAUGUUGUGAUUUGAGUGCAUAAUUUCUGUUUUGGAAAGUGAUUUGAAAAUUUGAAAGAGAUUUCAUAUUUUAGGGAAUUUUCCAAGGACUCAGAGGUAUAGAAAUGGAAUUGAUUUUCUCUGCUUUCUGUUUCAUGUAACUUGGAUGAUGAUGCGGUUCAAGGAUUGAAAUUUUCAAUUUUGUGUGUGAUUUGAAUUGGU